This 549-nucleotide ribosomal RNA is filed under the name uncultured Glomeromycotina. Its description in RNAcentral is "SSU rRNA". It matches the Rfam family "Eukaryotic small subunit ribosomal RNA", at positions 548 to 1098 of the family's 1831-position model. Lineage: Eukaryota; Fungi; Glomeromycota. The record is from RNAcentral.
UUGGAGGGCAAGUCUGGUGCCAGCAGCCGCGGUAAUUCCAGCUCCAAUAGCGUAUAUUAAAGUUGUUGCAGUUAAAAAGCUCGUAGUUGAAUUUCGGGAUCAAUAUAUCGGUCGUGCCUUCGGUAUGUACUGGUAUUAUUGGUUUCUCCUUUCUGACAAACUAUGAUGUCAUUAAUUUGGUGUCAUGGGGAAUCAGGACUGUUACUUUGAAAGAAUUAGAGUGUUUAAAGCAGGCACACGCUUGAAUACAUUAGCAUGGAAUAAUGAAAUAGGACGUUUGACCCUAUUUUGUUGGUUUCUAGGAUCGACGUAAUGAUUAAUAGGGAUAGUUGGGGGCAUUAGUAUUCAAUUGUCAGAGGUGAAAUUCUUGGAUUUAUUGAAGACUAACUACUGCGAAAGCAUUUGCCAAGGAUGUUUUCAUUAAUCAAGAACGAAAGUUAGGGGAUCGAAGACGAUCAGAUACCGUCGUAGUCUUAACCAUAAACUAUGCCGACUAGGGAUCGGAUGAUGUUAAUUUUUUAAUGACUCAUUCGGCGCCUUACGGGAAAC